GAGAAUCAAAAUACAGUUUCCUCUUGGGGAUGGAUCUGCUUCCACAACUUGCUGCUUCUUUCCCUUGAGCCAAACGCUUAAGUGGUUGUGAGCCUUCAGUGAAGAGGCGGUCUAAAAUGGUAGAAGAAAUUAUUCUUGCAUAUUGGUCAGUCUUGACACCCUUAUACAAAUGAGAUCCUGUAAGACAGCUUUAGAGCUAGAAUAUUUGACCAUCUUAUGAAUAGAAGUCCAAAUAAUUUUUUUUUUUUUUUUUUAGGAAAUAUGUAUUCAUUUAGAAAUUUAUCUGGGUUUUCCAGAGCCCUUCUCUAUGAACAAUGUUUAGGUUUGAUCUGACUUUGAGAUGUGUGGGUUGGAUUUAAGUGAAUAUAUCAAAAUGUGCAAGCCUGCAGCUCUACUGUCAUGAGUGAAUCUUUCUGUGUGAAAUUAGGCCUAGUUGCCCUCUGCAUAAGAGAGCUCCAAAGAGUACAUGUAUCUACUGUUCCACAGACAUAAACAACUUCAAGACAUUUAUCUUGCAUUUCCAGUUCUAUUUCUGUAAUUGCAAAGUAUAUUUGAAGGAGGACUUUGAAAAAUAAGAUAUAAUUACCUCUCCCUGCCUGCUUUCCCUGAAGCUUUUAGAAAAGAUUUGUGCCUGAGAUGUCGGAUCACCAGCAGAUGAAGUUUGGCACAUUUUGAAAUCUUAUUAAAAAUGUAGCAUUUGGCUCUAGGUGGGCUCUGUCUUAACUGCUUUGCUUUAGCUUAAAUGUAAACUUUUUCUAAAUAUAUUUCCAAAAAAUAUGGAGAAAGAAAUGACUUAGUGUGACUUAUUCUUAACAGUUUUUGAGAACAGUUCAUUGUACAGUUAAAGUGCCUGUUGAACUUGAGAGGGAAUCCUAUAUUCAGAAUCAGUUUACUGUAGUGUUUGAUCUUUUGAGAAAUAAGAAAUGUUGUCCUAAACGUUGAAGCAUAGAACCAAACAGUAUACAGUAUAGAAAUAAAUUGGUUGUGAAGAACAAUAUUUUUAAAUUCAGACUUUUCAAAGUAUUUUGGAGAUAUCUGUAGGGGGAGCCUUGCGAACAGAUGAAGAGCACUUUUUUGUUUUCCUGAUAAUUGCAACUACCAGAAGCAGCUAAAACUAGUUUGGAUCAACAUAAUGUCUUAAGUCAGUUAACCAUGAAACAUUGGUUUUAACUAAUGCCUAAAUAUGUAUUAAAUUUACCAGCAUACUUGAAUCUCUUAAUCUCUUACAUAGCCUCUGGGUUACUGCUUCAUGGCUGUUGUGAUUUAUGUUGGAAUGCAUUUCAAUCUUAAAAUAUUCUAAAAAUAAUUGUUCAGAUGAUGCUUAAAUACAUACUUAUGUAGUGAGCCAUUCUCAUUCAGUUCUCUGUCAGAUGACUUUUAAUGUCUUUUUAAUGCUAUGAAUACAUAUCAAACCACUACUCUGCUUGAUCUCUUCUGUAGUGUUCAGUAAUAUGCUUAAUAAUCUGCUACUUUUUAGAAAAUUGAGCCUUAAGUGUGU
Gavialis gangeticus (Gharial) is the source of this 1498-nucleotide long non-coding RNA. RefSeq lists it as uncharacterized. The record is from RefSeq and is a predicted model, not a curated record. Lineage: Eukaryota; Metazoa; Chordata; Crocodylia; Gavialidae. The transcript is spliced from 2 exons.